Molecule: unclassified non-coding RNA, 492 nt
Filed under: Hevea brasiliensis (rubber tree)
Lineage: Eukaryota; Viridiplantae; Streptophyta; Magnoliopsida; Malpighiales; Euphorbiaceae
Source: RNAcentral
AAAACAAGUAAACUCUCAAAUCAAUACUUUGAACUGUUGAUUACAACUGAGACAAAUUACCAUCCUGAUAGUUGAGAUUUACUGAAUCUAUAUUAGCCUUGUCAUACAAAUGUGGCUAUUGAUUGCUGAAGAACCAAAAAAAAAUCAACUUGUGUUGGCAUGUAUUACAAUCUCACACAAUGUAAGAUAAAAUUGAACCUUGAUUGUGUACUACAUCUCUUCAGUGGUAUAAUGCAAGAGAAACAAUGACUCCUCUACUGAAAUGACGCGACCAAAUCUUUGAAGUGAGUGAGGAGGCCGUCAACUGUCAUGACUUCAUGAUCAGACUUGCUUCUCACUCGAACGCUCACCUGCCCACUACUGGCUUCAGCUUCUCCAACAACUAGAAUAUAGUUAUAUUGUGCCAUUUGAGCUUCGCGUACCUUUUUCUGGAUUGUCCUGUCACUGGUAUCAACAUCAACAUAAUAACCAGCAUCAUGUAUCAGAGCCCGC